RNAcentral lists this long non-coding RNA (745 nucleotides) under Ananas comosus (pineapple). RNAcentral describes it as "long non-coding RNA (ACOM_LNC025208)". The record is from RNAcentral. Lineage: Eukaryota; Viridiplantae; Streptophyta; Magnoliopsida; Poales; Bromeliaceae.
AAUUACUACAUGUGCAUUAAAUAUACAGAGUCCAUCUUCGAUACUUUCAAAAGUACGAGAGGCCCCGUGUUUAUAAGAUAUUUUCGAUGAUAGGAUGUCCGAUUCGACGAUCAGCUUCGUUCGAUAUGAUCUAUCCUAUUGGAACUGUCUAAAAACCAAAUUUUAGAUUUUUUUGACAUCAUUUACUAAGUGAUCAAAAGGUCUAAAAAAUGACUAUUUUAACGACCGAUGUGGCACAUUUUUAAGUUCAACGGUAUAAAAAUAUUCAAAUUACAUGAAAAUUUAAUAGAAAAUUCUACUUAACAUCAGUAGCAAGAUUAAUACUUCCGAUUUAAAAUUUGAAUCCUUUAUCACUGUUUUUUAUGAGAUUUUUAUUUUCAGCCAUUCAUUUUGAGGCUACUCGUUCACUAGACAAAAGAAAUCUAAAAAUUAUAAAAUUUGGUUUCUAAAUAGUUCCAAUAGCGUAGAUCAAGUUUAACGGAACCGAUCGCCAAAUCGAAUGUCCCAUCAUCGAAAACAACUUACAAGCACGGGGCCUCCCAUACUUUCGAAAGUAUAGGACCCUAGCUCUAUAUAUAUAUAUAUAUAUAUAUAUAUAUAUAUAUAUAUUAUUCUUUUUUAUUCUAGUAUAUAGAAAUAUCACUCAAAAUUUUAAAAAUAUUUUAUUUAUUUUUUAACGAUCAAAAUAAUUUUUUAAUUAAUUAAAAAAUUCAAAAACAAUUUCUAUUUUCUCUAGAAUUUACCA